This 78-nucleotide transfer RNA is filed under the name Clostridium cochlearium. Its description in RNAcentral is "tRNA-Asp". It matches the Rfam family "tRNA". From Rfam's summary of the family: Transfer RNA (tRNA) molecules are approximately 80 nucleotides in length. Their secondary structure includes four short double-helical elements and three loops (D, anti-codon, and T loops). The record is from RNAcentral. Lineage: Bacteria; Bacillati; Bacillota; Clostridia; Eubacteriales; Clostridiaceae.
GGCCCAGUGGCUCAGUUGGUUUAGAGUGCCGGCCUGUCACGCCGGAGGUCGAGGGUUCAAGUCCCUUCUGGGUCGCCA